GACGAACGCUGGCGGCGUGCUUAACACAUGCAAGUCGAACGGUAAGGCCCUUCGGGGUACACGAGUGGCGAGCGGGUGAGUAACACGUGGGUGAUCUGCCCUGCACUUCGGGAUAAGCCUGGGAAACUGGGUCUAAUACCGGAUAGGACCAUGCGCUUCCCGGUGUGGGGUGGAAAGCUUUUGCGGUGUGGGAUGGGCCCGCGGCCUAUCAGCUUGUUGGUGGGGGGAUGGCCUACCAAGGCGACGAUCAGUAGUUGGUCUGAGAGGAUGACCGGCCACACUGGGACUGAGAUACGGCCCAGACUCCUACGGGAGGCAGCAGUGGGGAAUAUUGCACAAUGGGCGCAAGCCUGAUGCAGCGACGCCGCGUGAGGGAUGACGGCCUUCGGGUUGUAAACCUCUUUCAGCACCGACGAAGCGCAAGUGACGGUAGGUGCAGAAGAAGGACCGGCCAACUACGUGCCAGCAGCCGCCGUAA
RNAcentral lists this ribosomal RNA (478 nucleotides) under uncultured bacterium. Its description in RNAcentral is "partial 16S ribosomal RNA". It matches the Rfam family "Bacterial small subunit ribosomal RNA", at positions 28 to 523 of the family's 1533-position model. The record is from RNAcentral.